RNAcentral lists this ribosomal RNA (379 nucleotides) under uncultured bacterium. RNAcentral's name for it is "bacterial SSU rRNA". It matches the Rfam family "Bacterial small subunit ribosomal RNA", at positions 30 to 410 of the family's 1533-position model. The record is from RNAcentral.
AUUGAACGCUGGCGGCAUGCCUUACACAUGCAAGUCGAACGGCAGCACGGGAGCAAUCCUGGUGGCGAGUGGCGAACGGGUGAGUAAUAUAUCGGAACGUGCCCGGUCGUGGGGAUAACGUAGCGAAAGCUACGCUAAUACCGCAUACGAUCUACGGAUGAAAGCGGGGGAUCGCAAGACCUCGCGCGAUUGGAGCGGCCGAUAUCAGAUUAGGUAGUUGGUGAGGUAAAGGCUCACCAAGCCGACGAUCUGUAGCUGGUCUGAGAGGACGACCAGCCACACUGGGACUGAGACACGGCCCAGACUCCUACGGGAGGCAGCAGUGGGGAAUAUUGGACAAUGGCGAAGACCUGAUCCAGCAAUAGCCGCGUGAGUGAUG